CCCUGUUAUCAAUCUGCUUUGUAAUGUUCUCUUUUGACCAUCCCUUGCCUGAGGAUUCAUCAUACCCCUCUAAAAUCCAGCAUAUUAUUUCCUGCACUGGAACCUAGACACCAUAGCUUGAGUUUCAAUACCUGCUGCGGGAACCCCAAGAUGCUCUCAGCUGCCUGGCUCACCACCUUGGAGAAGCUCCCAGGAUCUUGGACUAGGUAACACUUGGCCUAGUUUGGGUUUUCUCCUUUCUCCCAGCUCAGAGCCCUGGAAGCAAGGAUGCAGCCAUCUACUGCGGACAAGCAAAGGAACCUGAAUAACCGACAACAUGAAUGAGAGUCGGCUGACUCCAGUUUCCGUGGCCAUAUUUUUUAUCUGACAGUUUCCAUCACCAGAUGAUCCCUCACUUGUCCCAAGUUAAGAAAUCCCAUGGGAGGGCCAGUACGCUGGGCCAUCUAAGAACAUGACAAUUCCAACAGGAACACAUUGUUUGGCUAAGAAGAGAAGCAUGUCCCUGAAGACUGGGAGGUAUUUGCUGAGACAAGGAUAUCCCCUACCCUCUCCUUAGAGGUAAUGAGUUUGAAGAGACUGAACAAUUAAAUGAUGAGUGAAAUCCUGAGGGAGUCCAAAUA
Long non-coding RNA from Eptesicus fuscus (big brown bat), 620 nucleotides. RefSeq lists it as uncharacterized. The record is from RefSeq and is a predicted model, not a curated record. NCBI's taxonomy places the organism in Eukaryota, Metazoa, Chordata, Mammalia, Chiroptera, Vespertilionidae. The transcript has 3 exons.